UACAUUCACUAGUCCUCCCUGCAC
Molecule: non-coding RNA, 24 nt
Filed under: Mus musculus (house mouse)
Lineage: Eukaryota; Metazoa; Chordata; Mammalia; Rodentia; Muridae
Source: RNAcentral